AAAACUAAGUACCCAUACUUAUUGUAUUCAAUCAAGAGGCAAAUAGUGUGUACAGCCAAAUCGUUAGAUAUCAAUUGGAACUAAGAAUGUGUGCUGGUGGGGGAAGGAAAUGAUCGUUGUAAAGACGAAUGAAGCCCUGUUAGAAAAAAUACCACACUUUGUAAGCAAUUUAUAGGACAUGGACGGAAGGAAGCUUAAAAAGAUCAGUACAAACAUUUCUUUUAACCCAUACGGUAGAAUGUUUAAGACAUGUUUAAGACAUUUAUUUAACACAAAAUGCAGUUUCUUACAGUUAAUAAGAUAUACCAGAAACUUAUUCUCUAUCGGCUUUUUGACAACAUCAAAGUAUUCAGACAGAAUGGUGUAUUUGCAACUAUCUGGAAACUGAAGAAAUAUUAAAUCUUAUCACAUCUUAAGAAAUAUUAAAUCUUAUCACACUCACUCACUAUGGCGAAAUAAUUAAUUUUUUAGUUGUUUGCUUCUAUGGAAGCGAUUAGAACAUUGCCUCCCGUUGAUGAAGUAUACUACAUAUAAGGCUAAGGAUGCCUUUGUCUUUGCCGUUAGUACACCGGUAUACAAUUUUCGAAAUAGGUACAAAUUCCACUCGUUUGACACCUAUUGCACUUGAUAUUUGUACAGUGGCGGCCACCAAAUUAGCACAUUGAUUAUCGAACUUUGAUACUGAUUUUGGUGCCAAAGUGGGUUCAAUUUGUGAACGUGGCAGAAAUAAGAAAAAACUCAAAUGCUAUGGCACAUUGUAUUGUAAGGAGUCCAGAUAUUAAAUAAAAUUUUGCGUGUUUAAUGCCAGCAAAACA
Molecule: long non-coding RNA, 815 nt
Organism: Drosophila willistoni
Lineage: Eukaryota; Metazoa; Arthropoda; Insecta; Diptera; Drosophilidae
Exons: 2
Source: RefSeq, a predicted model, not a curated record